CAGGGAUGUGUGCUGCUUGUGCUACUGGCGUUAUGUGGGCAAACUGCUCGCUGUCAACAUCAAUACAAAGGCUCUGCGACCCGUGAAGAACUGAGACUCCUUCUGGUCGCUAAAACAGGAUCGGGAAAGAAUGCAUCCAGAAACACCAUCCUGGGUGAUGCGAACGCUUUCAAAGAAGACGUUUCGCCUGAGUCUGUCACCGACAGCUGUCUCAGAAAAGAGGCAGAGGGCGACGACGGAAGAAAUAUCGCUGUGAUCGACACUCUGGGGCUGUCUUUUGGAUGAAAUAGAUGAAAUGGAGGAUUUCAAUGGAGGAAACCACUACACCGACGAGAUGUAUAAGGCAGCCCAGAAGAAACUCGAAGGAGAAAGGCUGAAGAGGAGAAAGGAGGAAGAACAAAGAAAAAGGGAAGAAGAGGAGAGGAUCGAAUUGAAGGAGUGGUGUAAAUUCUUCCGCCUCGCUUCCCUGGGAUUAUUUGGCACAGGAGCGUACUUUACAUCUUAUGUUCUCAUGGGGCUCGGUGGAGCCCUUGGAUAUUCUCAGUUAAAGACGCCGAGCUUGACGGUUGGGCGUCUUCUUUACUCGUUGAUACUGUGAAAACUGCGUAGGUGUAUCACCUACUCGACCUAGUGAUCAACGAGUACCGCACCGAAGCAUGCAACGGGUGCAAGACCAAUCACCCCAGCCAGAGACAACAUGAGUGUCUGCGAGUCUUGGUGUCAGGGUCAGCUCACCUGUCAGCUCACCUGUGGGCUUCUGCCCUUGGUCCACGCACCUGGUCGCCAUCACGCACCUGUGGCUCGUUACGAGAGUGUUCCAGCUCCUUUACAAGACGGCAGCUGUGUUUCUCGUCGCUGGACCGUUGCCGACCCGCAUUCCCUGGACCAACCCCUGAGUUUCCUGACUGAUUGAGUGUGCGAGGAGUGGAGUACGUCAUCGUGUUUUCUGUGGAGUGUGGAGAGGAGCGUGAAGAGUGGACGGAGUGCGUGUGGACUUUCAGCGUCUUUUCCGUGUGUUUCCCCGGACCCCGGAGCCCGGGGUCCACACACAAACAGAAACACACAAACUUCCCCCUCACCUCUGUAAAUAGAUCACCUGGUGUGCUGUAAUAAAGAUUCUUGUGUUUCCCAACUAAGAGCCUGCGCGUGUGUCCGUUCCAUCCCGCUGUGACACUUGGAGGAUGACUUUUACGCUGAACAUUAUUACAGCAUCAGGAAAAGACUCCUCACGCCGUGUUUCAUUCCUUCCAUUCAACGUCUCCUGAUCAUGUAUUCACAGCCACCGAAGGCGCUGUACAGCACCGAGCACCUGAAACACGGACAGUUUGUCAGGCCCAUCUUAUCUUAAUGACCUUGUAGUACCAUAUCACCCUAUUAGAGCACUUCGCUCUCGCUCUGCAGGCCUACUUGUUGUUCCUAGAGUAUUUAAAAGUAGAAUGGGAGGCAGAGCCUUCAGUUUUCAGGCCCCUCUUCUGUGGAACCAGCUUCCAGUUUGGAUUCAGGAGACAGACACUAGCUCUACUUUCAAGAUUAGGCUUCAAACUUUCCUUUUUGCUAAAGCAUAUAGUUAGGGCUGGACCAGGUGACCCUGAAUUGUCCCUUAGUUAUGCUGCAAUAGACGUAGGCUGCCGGGGGAUUCCCAUGAUGCAUUGAGUUUUUCCUUUCCAGUCACCUUUCUCACUAACUAUGUAUUAACAGACCUCUCUGCAUUGAAUCAUGUCUGUUAUUAAUCUCUGUCUCUCUUCCACAGCAUGUCUUUUAUCCUGUCUUCCUUCUCUCACCCCAACCAAUCACAGCAGAUGGCCCCGCCCCUCCCUGAGCCUGGUUCUGCCAGAGGUUUCUACCUGUUAAAAGGGAGUUUUUCCUUCCCACUGUCACCAAAGUGCUUGCUCACAGGGGGUCAUAUGAUUGUUGGGUUUUUCUCUGUAUCUAUGAAGCGCCUUGAGGCGACUUAUGUUGUGAUUUGGCGCUAUAUAAAUAAAAUUGAAUUGAAUUGAAUUGAAUUUGUUGAUACUGUAAUCAAAAAUACAGCCCCGGGGGGGGGGGGGGGGCAUUUUAAAAAUGCACCCUCCCUAUUGCGCAUGUCCCUAAAAGGUAUGGCCUCCCAGAUUGCCUCAGUUGUAUCGUG
Astatotilapia calliptera (eastern happy) is the source of this 2128-nucleotide long non-coding RNA. NCBI's taxonomy places the organism in Eukaryota, Metazoa, Chordata, Actinopteri, Cichliformes, Cichlidae. The record is from Ensembl.